CCUACGGGUGGCAUCAGUCGAGAAUCAUUCACAAUGGGGGAAACCCUGAUGGUGCGACGCCGCGUGGGGGAAUGAAGGUCUUCGGAUUGUAAACCCCUGUCAUGUGGGAGCAAAUUAAAAAGAUAGUACCACAAGAGGAAGAGACGGCUAACUCUGUGCCAGCAGCCGCGGUAAUACAGAGGUCUCAAGCGUUGUUCGGAAUCACUGGGCGUAAGGCGUGCGUAGGCUGUUUCGUAAGUCGUGUGUGAAAGGCGCGGGCUCAACCCGCGGACGGCACAUGAUACUGCGAGACUAGAGUAAUGGAGGGGGAACCGGAAUUCUCGGUGUAGCAGUGAAAUGCGUAGAUAUCGAGAGGAACACUCGUGGCGAAGGCGGGUUCCUGGACAUUAACUGACGCUGAGGCACGAAGGCCAGGGGAGCGAAAGGGAUUAGAUACCCGGGUAGUC
RNAcentral lists this ribosomal RNA (446 nucleotides) under uncultured bacterium. Its description in RNAcentral is "partial 16S ribosomal RNA". It matches the Rfam family "Bacterial small subunit ribosomal RNA", at positions 338 to 795 of the family's 1533-position model. The record is from RNAcentral.